UACGAAGGGGGCAAGCGUUGUUCGGAAUUACUGGGCGUAAAGGGCGCGUAGGCGGCUUAUCAAGUCAGGCGUGAAAUUCCCGGGCUCAACCUGGGGGCUGCGCUUGAUACUGAUGAGCUUGAAUGCGGGAGAGGAUAGUGGAAUUCCACGUGUAGCGGUGAAAUGCGUAGAGAUGUGGAGGAACACCAGUGGCGAAGGCGACUCUUUGGCCUGUAACUGACGCUGAGGCGCGAAAGCGUGGGGAGCAAACAGG
This 253-nucleotide ribosomal RNA is filed under the name uncultured bacterium. Its description in RNAcentral is "partial 16S ribosomal RNA". It matches the Rfam family "Bacterial small subunit ribosomal RNA", at positions 524 to 776 of the family's 1533-position model. The record is from RNAcentral.